This 645-nucleotide ribosomal RNA is filed under the name Staphylococcus aureus. RNAcentral's name for it is "partial 23S ribosomal RNA". It matches the Rfam family "Bacterial large subunit ribosomal RNA", at positions 803 to 1452 of the family's 2925-position model. The record is from RNAcentral. Lineage: Bacteria; Bacillati; Bacillota; Bacilli; Caryophanales; Staphylococcaceae.
GAUGAACUGAGGGUAGCGGAGAAAUUCCAAUCGAACCUGGAGAUAGCUGGUUCUCUCCGAAAUAGCUUUAGGGCUAGCCUCAAGUGAUGAUUAUUGGAGGUAGAGCACUGUUUGGACGAGGGGCCCCUCUCGGGUUACCGAAUUCAGACAAACUCCGAAUGCCAAUUAAUUUAACUUGGGAGUCAGAACAUGGGUGAUAAGGUCCGUGUUCGAAAGGGAAACAGCCCAGACCACCAGCUAAGGUCCCAAAAUAUAUGUUAAGUGGAAAAGGAUGUGGCGUUGCCCAGACAACUAGGAUGUUGGCUUAGAAGCAGCCAUCAUUUAAAGAGUGCGUAAUAGCUCACUAGUCGAGUGACACUGCGCCGAAAAUGUACCGGGGCUAAACAUAUUACCGAAGCUGUGGAUUGUCCUUUGGACAAUGGUAGGAGAGCGUUCUAAGGGCGUUGAAGCAUGAUCGUAAGGACAUGUGGAGCGCUUAGAAGUGAGAAUGCCGGUGUGAGUAGCGAAAGACGGGUGAGAAUCCCGUCCACCGAUUGACUAAGGUUUCCAGAGGAAGGCUCGUCCGCUCUGGGUUAGUCGGGUCCUAAGCUGAGGCCGACAGGCGUAGGCGAUGGAUAACAGGUUGAUAUUCCUGUACCACCUAUA